This 1109-nucleotide long non-coding RNA is filed under the name Oryctolagus cuniculus (rabbit). RNAcentral describes it as "lncRNA (ENSOCUG00000031783.1)". Lineage: Eukaryota; Metazoa; Chordata; Mammalia; Lagomorpha; Leporidae. The record is from RNAcentral.
AUGAUGUUUUUAAAAAGAUUUAUUUAUUUGAGAAGUGGAAUUAUAGAGCAGGGGGGGCUGGAGCUGGGCCUAUCCAAAGCCAGGAGCCAGGAGCUUCCUUGGGGUCUCCACAUGGGUACAGAGGCUCAAGCACUUGGCCAGCUUCUGCUGCCUCCCCAGGCACACCAGCAGGGAGCUGAAUUGGAAGCUAUGCAUCUGGGCAUGAACUGGAAUACAUAUGGGGUGCCAGCACUGCAGGCAGAGACCUACCCUACAUGCCAUAGCAUCAGCCCACUACUUGUGUCCUACAAGAAGGUGAAUACAGCUGCCUCUAUACUUAAGAGCUGCCCACAUGGUUCCUAUUAUUGGAAGCAACAUUGAAAUUGCUACCUCAGUUCUCAUUCUAUGACAUUUCUUACCAUCAGGACUGACUUAUAGAGGAAAUCCACCUCUGUUGUUCUCAGCAAAUGACGGUGCCUUUUUUACCAACACAUUUUGUUGCUAUUGUAAUUGGAAUGUCUUAUAGAUCUCUUAUAGAAUAUACUCAGUUUGGAGAGAGGAGACUAGAGGGAAUGACCCCUGGGGGGGGGGGGAGUUCACCAGGCUAGCUGGAGAGAGAGAGAGGAAAAAAAAAAGGUGACUGGUACGGACACGGGUUUCUCUCUCUCCGCUCACCUCUCAAGGGUGAACAAGACAAAGAGCAGGCGCCAUCUUGGACAUACGUCAUAAGCAGAGCGACCUCAGGUCUGCACCGGCCCUGGGCCUAGCAGAAAAACCUGACUCUGGGCAGGGCGAAUUAACAGGAGAUUAGGACCUAGUAAAUUUGUGGUGCUACUGAACUGAGACUGUGAAAAAAGAGACGGUGGGGGAGAGAACUCACGGAAUUCACGUGAGCACUCUCCAGAGACGCUACAAUUCUGUAACUUUGGCAACCCAGUGGGAGACUGAAGGAGAAUUUGAGCCCACUCUGAGGGCUGAACAGAUUCCCUGUGUGGUCCUUGGGAAAGAGCUUCCGAUCUCUGGCUCCUGUGGGUAUAUCAUUUGCCUGCUAACUACCUCCAACUUCGUUCAGCUGUGCAGAAUUACUUCCCUUUUGAAUAAAAAAGAGAGAGAGAGAGAGAGGUUUGCCA